Molecule: long non-coding RNA, 2719 nt
Organism: Heterocephalus glaber (naked mole-rat)
Lineage: Eukaryota; Metazoa; Chordata; Mammalia; Rodentia; Bathyergidae
Source: Ensembl
CAUUUUGGACCCAAGAACAGGCCAAAGUCUGCAUCCCUCUUCCUGGGCCUUCAAAAACCAACCCCUCAAGAGUCAGGCUGUGUUCUUUACUACAAGCACAAGUCCGACUAUUUUUGUUUUCGUUUUGUGGUACUGGGGAGUGAACCCAGGGCCUUCGCACUGAGCUCCAUCCCCAGCCCUUUCUUAUUUUUUAUUUUGACACAGGGUCUCACUAAGUUGUUAAGUGGUCCAUGCUGCGCUCGAACUUCCGACCCCCCUGCCUCUGCAUCCCGAGUGCUGGGAUGGCAGGCUUAUCGGGUCAUCUUCAUGAGACGGUUCCGGGAUCACAGACCAGGAUGACCUGAAAAGCCCUCAAGAAACAAUCGAGUAGAGGCUGGGCCGGGAACCCCGCCACCCGGAGCCUCCCCGUCCCCGGUCCCGGACCCACCAGCGUCCCGGAGCUCCUGCAAGAGGGAGUGGUCCAGCUGCGCUCACAACGCAAGGGAAAAGAAAGCCCUUCCGGGCGGGCGGGCGAACCGUUCCGGGGGCAGGGCCAGCGAGGGGGAGACAGACACGGGGAGGCCCACGGCUGGGGACCUGGCGCGAAGGAGGACGUGGCCGCGGGGUGCUCGGCAGCAGGACGACCGAGACGUCCUGUCCCAAAGAGAAGAGCUCAGGCCUGCGCUGCGGGACAUCCAGGGGCAUCAGGGAGGCUUCCUGGAGGAGACGCCCUAACGGGAAGGAAGGCGCAGAUCUAAACGGAGAAAGGCGAGGCCUAGGCGGAAAGCGAGGCAGAUGGGAAGUUAGCUGGGUGUGAAGCCGGGGGAACAACCGCAGAGAUGGCGCUGCUCCCGCGGGCGCCUGCCGGGGCGGGAUCCCCUUAGGAUCACUCGCACCGGAAGUCGAUUCUGGAGGUGUGCGGGCCUGCAGCUCUCGGCGGAACUCACAGGCGCUCGCUCGCGCUCUCUCCCUCCCUCCCUCUCCCAGUCUCACGCAUAGGUGCCGUUGUGAGCACACAAGCUCCACAGGUUGGGAUUUACACUUCUGCAUCUAUCUCAGAAGAGAGGGGAAAGUCUAGGGCGUAGCCCCUAGCUGUCCAUUGAGUCAGGCUGAGCACUGCACCCUCGGGCCUCACACAUGCUCUUUGUUUGAGGAGGGGCCGCCCGCCCUCGCCCAGGGCCCAGCACUGGGCCUGGGAAAGCUCUGUUCCCAGGAGCCUGAGAAGUUGGCCUCUGUCUAAGGCCCUGGAGAGGAGAACCUGGGGGAACCAAGUGCCCUGGGCAGCCGGGAGUCAACCUGCCAGACUCCUCAAACAGCCGGGCCCUCCGGAAGGCUUUGGGCAGGGAGCUGGGGAGCGGGGCCCCAACUCUGGGUGCUGGGAAGACACAGUGGGGUCCCCGGGGCUGGCAGUGCCAGUGGCACCUGUGGCCUGGAUGCGGCCUAGCGAUGCCAACUGUGUCCAGUCCUCCAUAAAGGGCCGGCCUCGCCCACCUGUCCGUGGUGCCACUCAGCUCUCCGGGCAAGACUUUUUGGCCACGCUGGAAAAAUCAUCCUCGUUGUCGAUGUCCUGCUCACCUAGGAGUUGCUGCAACCCUGCCAGUCUGGAGGCGUGGCUUAGCAGCGGAGCCCUCACUGGGCAUGGCUGGGCCCUGAGCUCAAUCCCCAGCACACAAAAGAGAGGAGAAGACCCUCCACCACCCUAGAUGUGCUGGCCCCCAACGUGACAUCUGUGCCACACUUGGCAGUUCCUGCCCUUCUGUCCCCAUCCCUGAUCAUCUAAAUCUUACGACAGCCCCUGAGGCCCCAGAGAGCUUGUGCAGCUGCCCUGAGGACUCCCAGGUAAUGCAGGAAUGGAGGAAACAAGCAGCCCAGACCCAGGUGGGCUGGCUGGGAAGACUCCGGGCUGUGUCCCUGCUCCUUGGACUUGGCAGUUGGGACAGAGACCCCUAGGCUGGAUCUCCGGGUGGAGGCUGGGAGCUGGACUUCCCAGUGGAACCCAGCGACCCCUCAGUGACAGUGACAGCCUAGUCAAGAUAACUGUAUCACCCUGUGCGGGGCCAGAUGGGAAGCGGGAGGCAGGUGGACAGCCCAGGACCCCUCAGGGACAGGCGGUGGUCAGGGCCUGAUGUGCCGAUGCCAGCACAGCCAUUUGCAUCUAAGAGCCCGGAUUCCCGGUGAUGGGGCUGGGGAUGAGGCUUUGGAGAGUCCUCUCUGCCCGAGGAGAGCAGCCUCCUGUUCCCAAGGGCUGGGUGUCUGUCAGUGACAGGACCGUCUUAGACCUGGCCAGGAUGCCAGCCUUCGGGGGCGGGGGCAUCUGGCAGAGCUCACCGCAACUUAAUAAAGCGGAUCAUCCACAGCCCUCCCUCGAACGCUGUAGUGUUUGUCCACAGACCGAAUCAGCAUUACCUGAGCACUGAGAACAGGUCGGAGCCCCUCCCCAGUGUUCAUUCCAGACUGGGAACAUGGGUCAUUCGCUCAACAAACGCUUACUGUGCCCUACAGUGCAGCAGGGUGAUUUCAGGACAGCACUGCCAGAUAAAAUUCAGGAUGUCCAAACUGGGCGUGGGUGCACGCCUAUUAUCCCAGCACUCGGGAGGCUGAGGCAGGAGGGUUACGGUGAGUUCGAGGCCAGCCUGGGCUACAUUGCACCCUCGGGGACUGGGCGACAGGGCCAGAGUGUGGCUCAGGCGUGCUGGCCUUGUGAGCCCCAGGGAGGGCAGGGCUGCAACUGUGGUUCAGG